GACGAACGCUGGCGGCGUGCUUAACACAUGCAAGUCGAACGCUGAAGCUCAGCUUUUGUUGGGUGGAUGAGUGGCGAACGGGUGAGUAACACGUGAGUAACCUGCCUCCUUCUUUGGGAUAACGCCCGGAAACGGGUGCUAAUACUGGAUAUUCACUGUUCUUCGCAUGGGGGUUGGUGGAAAGGGUUUUUCUGGUGGGGGAUGGGCUCGCGGCCUAUCAGCUUGUUGGUGGGGUGAUGGCCUACCAAGGCUUUGACGGGUAGCCGGCCUGAGAGGGUGACCGGUCACAUUGGGACUGAGAUACGGCCCAGACUCCUACGGGAGGCAGCAGUGGGGAAGAUUGCACAAUGGGCGCAAGACUGAUGCAGCGACGCCGCGGGAGGGAUGGAGGCCUUCGGGUUGUGAACCUCUUUCGCUCAUGGUCAAGCCGCAACAAUGGUUGUGGUGAGGGUAGUGGGUAAAGAAGCGCCGGCUAACUACGUG
RNAcentral lists this ribosomal RNA (483 nucleotides) under uncultured bacterium. RNAcentral's name for it is "partial 16S ribosomal RNA". It matches the Rfam family "Bacterial small subunit ribosomal RNA", at positions 28 to 507 of the family's 1533-position model. The record is from RNAcentral.